Molecule: long non-coding RNA, 422 nt
Filed under: Zonotrichia albicollis (white-throated sparrow)
Lineage: Eukaryota; Metazoa; Chordata; Aves; Passeriformes; Passerellidae
Description: lncRNA (ENSZALG00000003849.1)
Source: RNAcentral
AUGUUCUGCUCCUAUCUUGCUAUACUAUUUAUGGUGCCUUAUUCCUUUCUGUUUGUUAUCUAGAUCUAUAUGAUGAAAUCUCUAUUAAAAUAAAAUGGGUGAUUGCCUGAAAAGCACAUAAGAAAGAGGACAUUUUGCACCAUACGAAAAGACUGUUCACCAGCUGUUCACUGUCAGAGAAAAAGGACACUUCCAGCCCUUAAUUUCAAAUCACAAGUGGAAAAGGAGAAAAGGGUGUCAAGUGUCUGCUCACACUUGAAGUUAUGGUCUUCUCCUAAAAGAUGGGUUCAAACCUUUCCCAAGAGAGGAUCAGUCUGAUUCUUGGCUCACUUCAUCCCAGGCACUACUCUGUUGGAUAUCCCUCUGCUGAGCUACGGAAAAAACAUCAUUAUUUGGAUGGCGGGAACAGCAAUCCUGGCUGA